Long non-coding RNA from Hypanus sabinus (Atlantic stingray), 480 nucleotides. RefSeq lists it as uncharacterized. The record is from RefSeq and is a predicted model, not a curated record. The transcript has 3 exons. NCBI's taxonomy places the organism in Eukaryota, Metazoa, Chordata, Chondrichthyes, Myliobatiformes, Dasyatidae.
CCAAGAUGAAGGGUCUCAGCCUGAAAUUUUCCUUCCCCUCCAUUGAUGCUGCCUGACUUACUGAGUUCCUCCAGCAUUUCAUAUGGCUGAAAAAGAUAAACUGCGUCAUUUUAACAUUUAUCGCUGAGAGAUGGCUGAUAGCAAAACAGUGACAAAUGGAAAAGAAAAUCUGAGUAACCCACUCCCUGUGUUCCCUUCCCACUCCUGUCAUGUCUUUGUACUGUUUAUCAGUUUGACAUUCAGCACUAUUGUCCCACAGACUUUGCUGAACCAACUCCUACUCGUCGGUCCAAAUACACUGCUGUACGACUGAGUGUUGGAGCUCCUAACCACCAGAACUCACUAGUCAGCAUGUACAACCACUCCUCCCUCCCCAUCAUCCUCAACACUCUGCUCACACACGAACAUAUGGCCAAACACCCAAGUAAUCACAUUGUCUAGUUCGCCAAUGACACAACAGUCAUCACCAGCAAUGGUGAG